CACUCCUGCGGGAGGCAGCAGUGGGGAAUAUUGGACAAUGGGCGCAAGCCUGAUCCAGCCAUGCCGCGUGAGUGAUGAAGGCCCUAGGGUUGUAAAGCUCUUUCACCGGUGAAGAUAAUGACGGUAACCGGAGAAGAAGCCCCGGCUAACUUCGUGCCAGCAGCCGCGGUAAUACGAAGGGGGCUAGCGUUGUUCGGAUUUACUGGGCGUAAAGCGCACGUAGGCGGACUAUUAAGUCAGGGGUGAAAUCCCGGGGCUCGACCCCGGAACUGCCUUUGAUACUGGUAGUCUUGAGUUCGAGAGAGGUGAGUGGAAUUCCGGGUGUAGAGGUGAAAUUCGUAGAUAUUCGGAGGAACACCAGUGGCGAAGGCGGCUCACUGGCUCGAUACUGACGCUGAGGUGCGAAAGCGUGGGGAGCAAACAGGAUUAGAAACCCCAGUAGUCCC
This 446-nucleotide ribosomal RNA is filed under the name uncultured organism. RNAcentral describes it as "partial 16S ribosomal RNA". It matches the Rfam family "Bacterial small subunit ribosomal RNA", at positions 334 to 797 of the family's 1533-position model. The record is from RNAcentral.